GGUUAAGUUAGAAAGGGCGCACGGUGGAUGCCUUGGCACUAGGAGCCGAUGAAGGACGGGACGAACACCGAUAUGCUUCGGGGAGCUGUAAGCAAGCUUUGAUCCGGAGAUUUCCGAAUGGGGAAACCCACCACUCGUAAUGGAGUGGUAUCCAUAUCUGAAUUCAUAGGAUAUGAGAAGGCAGACCCGGGGAACUGAAACAUCUAAGUACCCGGAGGAAGAGAAAGCAAAUGCGAUUCCCUGAGUAGCGGCGAGCGAAACGGGAUUAGCCCAAACCAAGAGGCUUGCCUCUUGGGGUUGUAGGACACUCUGUACGGAGUUACAAAGGAACGAGGUAGAUGAAGAGGUCUGGAAAGGCCCGCCAUAGAAGGUAACAGCCCUGUAGUCAAAACUUCGU
This 397-nucleotide ribosomal RNA is filed under the name Bacillus subtilis. RNAcentral describes it as "LSU rRNA". It matches the Rfam family "Bacterial large subunit ribosomal RNA", at positions 1 to 390 of the family's 2925-position model. The record is from RNAcentral. Lineage: Bacteria; Bacillati; Bacillota; Bacilli; Caryophanales; Bacillaceae.